AAUGCUGACAUAAGUAACGAUAAAGCGGGUGAAAAGCCCGCUCGCCGGAAGACCAAGGGUUCCUGUCCAACGUUAAUCGGGGCAGGGUGAGUCGACCCCUAAGGCGAGGCCGAAAGGCGUAGUCGAUGGGAAACGGGUUAAUAUUCCCGUACUUGGUGUUACUGCGAAGGGGGGACGGAGAAGGCUAUGUUGGCCGGGCGACGGUUGUCCCGGUUUAAGCGUGUAGGUGUGUGUUCCAGGUAAAUCCGGUUCACUUUAACACUGAGGCGUGACGACGAGGCACUACGGUGCUGAAGCAACAAAUGCCCUGCUUCCAGGAAAAGCCUCUAAGCAUCAGGUAACAUCAAAUCGUACCCCAAACCGACACAGGUGGUCAGGUAGAGAAUACCAAGGCGCUUGAGAGAACUCGGGUGAAGGAACUAGGCAAAAUGGUGCCGUAACUUCGGGAGAAGGCACGCUGACAUGUAGGUGAAGUGAUUUACUCAUGGAGCUGAAGUCAGUCGAAGAUACCAGCUGGCUGCAACUGUUUAUUAAAAACACAGCACUGUGCAAACACGAAAGUGGACGUAUACGGUGUGACGCCUGCCCGGUGCCGGAA
This 598-nucleotide ribosomal RNA is filed under the name Salmonella enterica subsp. enterica serovar Saintpaul. RNAcentral describes it as "partial 23S ribosomal RNA". It matches the Rfam family "Bacterial large subunit ribosomal RNA", at positions 1293 to 1874 of the family's 2925-position model. The record is from RNAcentral. Lineage: Bacteria; Pseudomonadati; Pseudomonadota; Gammaproteobacteria; Enterobacterales; Enterobacteriaceae.